GACGAACGCUGGCGGCGUGCCUAAUACAUGCAAGUUGAGCGCUGAAGGUUGGUACUUGUACCAACUGGAUGAGCAGCGAACGGGUGAGUAACGCGUGGGGAAUCUGCCUUUGAGCGGGGGACAACAUUUGGAAACGAAUGCUAAUACCGCAUAAAAACUUUAAACACAAGUUUUAAGUUUGAAAGAUGCAAUUGCAUCACUCAAAGAUGAUCCCGCGUUGUAUUAGCUAGUUGGUGAGGUAAAGGCUCACCAAGGCGAUGAUACAUAGCCGACCUGAGAGGGUGAUCGGCCACAUUGGGACUGUGACACGGCCCAAACUCCUACGGGAGGCAGCAGUAGGGAAUCUUCGGCAAUGGACGAAAGUCUGACCGAGCAACGCCGCGUGAGUGAAGAAGGGUUUCGGAUCGUAAAACUCUGUUGGUAGAGAAGAACGUUGGUGAGAGUGGAAAGCUCAUCAAGUGACGGUAACUACACAGAAAGGGACGGCCAACUACGUG
Molecule: ribosomal RNA, 497 nt
Filed under: uncultured bacterium
Lineage: Bacteria
Description: partial 16S ribosomal RNA
Rfam family: Bacterial small subunit ribosomal RNA
Source: RNAcentral